GUGUUAUAUAAAAUAUAUAUAGUAGAAAUCAUAAUUUUAACAAAAUACUAUUAUUUACAUAUGUUAUCAUCAUCUACCCCAUGUUCCAGAUUAAAAAAAAAAAAAACUACUACUACAACAAAAUUACCAAUUUACCAAUUAUUUAGGGCAUGGGUGUAGUGGUUUUGCUGAGAUGAAAUCUGAGUCGUUUAAACUCACAAAAAAAAACUGCUCCCAUGACAGUUCAGGGCAGUUAUUUGCAGUUUCUCAGCUGGUGGUUUUGCUUUACAUUUUUAUGCCCAUGAUCUCCACUUCUCAGCAUGUUAUCUCCUUAUUUUAAGACCCAUUAUCUCCAACUAACUCCUAAAAAUAUGGGUCAGUUGAGAGGAUGUAUUGCUAUAUAAUGCACUUGCAUUUAACAAAUUCAAUCAUUAAUUUCUAAAGCUAAUUCUGUCAAGCAUUUGGCAAAAAAGAAGCAAAGUAUAGCUUUCAUUAAUUCUAGCAACCUAGGGUGUUCUAGCAAUGAAAAUCAAAUUCCAUCAGCAACUAUAUCACGCACUUCAACAAAGGAAAUCUAGUUAAACAGUUUGGUUGAUGAGGAGCAAAAUACGUUGAUAAAAAUGGAUCAGAAUGUUGUUAUCAGGAAAUGGAACUUAGCACUUUGGUAGACAAGGAGCAGAAAACGUUGAUACAAAAUGGACCUGCAUGUGAUCAGGAAAUGAGCCUUAACAGUUUGGUUGAUGAGGAGUAGAAAACAUUAAUAAAAAAUGGACCGGCAUGUGAUGAGGUUCGCAAGGUUGAAAGAAGCAACAAGAUGUCUAAAGCACUAAGGAACUAGAAAUGGUACGAGGUGAUUGAGAUUGUUAGUUAUGACGAUGAUUGGGAAGAGGAUGAUAUUGUACGUGUAAUAGAAAGAAGCAAGUUUGCUUGUCUACACGGUGGAAAACGGGGUGUUCUUGAUUGGGAAAAGGAUAAUAUCUAGAUACACUUAUGUUUUGAAGGCAAUUGUUUCAAGAAUGAUGCAUGUUUUGUUUUUCUUUAAUGUUUAACUUAUUUCACUAUUUAUGUUUCCAAUUUUAAUGUUGAACAUAUCUUUAUGUUUUUGUUUUAAUGUUUUAUUUAUUCACUCUUAUG
This is a long non-coding RNA of Helianthus annuus (common sunflower), 1113 nucleotides long. RefSeq lists it as uncharacterized. The record is from RefSeq and is a predicted model, not a curated record. Lineage: Eukaryota; Viridiplantae; Streptophyta; Magnoliopsida; Asterales; Asteraceae. The transcript is spliced from 5 exons.